AUGGCUGUUCGCCAUUUAAAGCGGUACGUGAGUUGGGUUCAGAACGUCGUGAGACAGUUCGGUCCCUAUCUGCCGUGGGUGUAGGAAUAUUGAAAGGAUCUGUCCCUAGUACGAGAGGACCGGGAUGGACGGAUCUCUGGUGGACCUGUUGUGGCGCCAGCCGCAUUGCAGGGUAGCUAUAUCCGGACGGGAUAACCGCUGAAGGCAUCUAAGCGGGAAACCCACCUUGAAACGAGUAUUCCCUGAGAACCGUGGAAGACGACCACGUUGAUAGGCCGGGUGUGGAAGAGCGGCAACGCUUGAAGCUUACCGGUACUAAUAGUUCGAUCGGCUUGAUCGUUCUCAUU
RNAcentral lists this ribosomal RNA (347 nucleotides) under Mesorhizobium sp. RNAcentral's name for it is "partial 23S ribosomal RNA". It matches the Rfam family "Bacterial large subunit ribosomal RNA", at positions 2572 to 2925 of the family's 2925-position model. Lineage: Bacteria; Pseudomonadati; Pseudomonadota; Alphaproteobacteria; Hyphomicrobiales; Phyllobacteriaceae. The record is from RNAcentral.